UGUGACUCCCUGGGCUACGUGGGCUCAAAAACAAUUUAAAUACAAAAACACAAGCAGGUUCCCCUCCUCUCCUUUGCCUUUUGGUCUGGCUCUCCCUACCUUUGGGUUGGCGCCUGACUGAAUGGAAAACCCAUCGUCUUGCAGCCACUAACCUGUGAGCAACGGCUACCUGGAGACCAGGCCCCUCUGCUGGGGGUCCCCCAGGAGCUGUGCCCCAUCAUUCUGCAGCCCACUGACUCCCAGCCUGAGCUUCAAAUUUAUCUCGUCCAUAUACUCUGUGAUAUCAGUGAGAAAACAUCAAUCACACUGCCAUGUUUCAUCUUUGAUUAUUAAAUAUUUGAAUUGCCAUACUGGUUUUCACAGCAACUGUAUCAUUUUACGUUCCCAUCAACAACGUACAAGGGUUCCAGUUUGUCCUCACUAAUGCUUGUCAUUUUCUGGGUUUUUGGCAACAGCCAUCCCAACGGCUGUGAAGCAGUAUCUCACCGCGGUUUGGAUUUGCACU
This 505-nucleotide long non-coding RNA is filed under the name Equus caballus (horse). RNAcentral describes it as "lncRNA (ENSECAG00000046625.1)". Lineage: Eukaryota; Metazoa; Chordata; Mammalia; Perissodactyla; Equidae. The record is from RNAcentral.